AGUGAACGCUGGCGGUAGGCCUAACACAUGCAAGUCGAACGGCAGCACAGUAAGAUCUUGCUCUUACGGGUGGCGAGUGGCGGACGGGUGAGGAAUACAUCGGAAUCUACUUUUUCGUGGGGGAUAACGUAGGGAAACUUACGCUAAUACCGCAUACGACCUACGGGUGAAAGCAGGGGAUCUUCGGACCUUGCGCGAUUGAAUGAGCCGAUGUCGGAUUAGCUAGUUGGCGGGGUAAAGGCCCACCAAGGCGACGAUCCGUAGCUGGUCUGAGAGGAUGAUCAGCCACACUGGAACUGAGACACGGUCCAGACUCCUACGGGAGGCAGCAGUGGGGAAUAUUGGACAAUGGGCGCAAGCAUGAUCCAGCCAUACCGCGUGGGUGAAGAAGGACUUCGGGUUGUAAAGCCCUUUUGUUGGGAAAGAAAAGCAGCAGGUUAAUACCCCGCUGUUCUGACGGUACCCAAAGAAUAAGCACCGGCUAACUUCGUG
RNAcentral lists this ribosomal RNA (492 nucleotides) under uncultured bacterium. RNAcentral describes it as "partial 16S ribosomal RNA". It matches the Rfam family "Bacterial small subunit ribosomal RNA", at positions 29 to 507 of the family's 1533-position model. The record is from RNAcentral.